Long non-coding RNA from Zonotrichia albicollis (white-throated sparrow), 1675 nucleotides. RefSeq lists it as uncharacterized. NCBI's taxonomy places the organism in Eukaryota, Metazoa, Chordata, Aves, Passeriformes, Passerellidae. The record is from RefSeq and is a predicted model, not a curated record.
GUUCUGGCCGGCUCAUGGUGCUGGCGGGAUGGAGGCAGGGAGAAAGGGGUAGAGGACGAGACUGCCGUGGCGUGGGGGCUCCAGGCGAGGUGCCGGGGGGAGAGCAGCACGGAGCGUGCGUAUCUACGCCAGUGCCCUGGCUGAAGAUCCCAGAUGGGGCACUGCAGCAAGCGGCUCAUUUAUAUAUCUCAGCCCUCGGAAAUGGCGUCAGGAGGAAGCCACCUCCUCCUCUACCCCCUCCCCUCGCACACAGGCUUCCCAUCAGCCUCCAUCGCUCGCCGGGUGUCGGAGGAGCCCCGACCUCCCGGGCUGCCCGUGCAAGGGUGUCCGGCUCUGGUUGCUCCAUCUGCUCCCAUUGCAGGCGCAGGAAGGCUGGCAGGUGUUUCCAGGACACUGCUUUUCCAGCAUCUCACCCGACACUGGCAAUCUGCAGCACCUCUGCACAUGUGCCCUCUCUCUGUGUACCUGGAGCCAAACGUGAGGCACCUCAUGUGUCCCGGCCAGCACUGCAAUCUGUAGAUGGUUUUGCCCUCUCAGGACCUCCUUGUCUUUCACUGAUCAUGGAAGUUUAGAACAGGUGCUGAAAUUUUUAGAUGUCUUUUAAAGACCACCACUCCAGCGAACCAUGAAAAGGGCUUGCUAAUGGACAUGGUGAGGUCUUGCAUCCAUUAAAUUCAUUGCAAAGGAGAAGCUAAGUGCUUUCCAGCUGCACAAUUUCUGGUGCAUGAAGUGCUGUUGGGACUGUGGAGAGCCAUAGACCAUGACCUGUCUGCAGUUACCAACACAACAUGUGUAGAUGGACAAAGAGAUAUUUGCCUUCCCAGCCUGAAAGUGAUUUGAGAAGAUGGCAGUGUCCUGAUGGACGGAGGCAGCCACCCUGGACUGUUGCAUUAUCCAUGCUCUGAGCUGAGGGAACAGGAGGGUCAGCUUAAAAGCCAUAUUGAUAUAUGAUCUUUCUAUGCAUAAGGUCAUUUGAUUGAGAGAUUAUGUGGCUUAAGUGCAAUUCUCAAGAAUAAAAUAUUUUUUACUUUAUUUCAGAAUUCAGGAAAUUAAUCCAAAGGAUCUUGUAUUUGUGAGUUACUCUAAAAGCUUUGUUGUCUAAUUUGUUGGCUGAAACUGGGUUAAGAAUUCGCUCCUCUUCUGUGCUUGGAAACACUGACACUGCAUUUCAAACAGCUGUGAUUUUACAGAUCCAGAUACUGAGGCCCAUAAAGAGGGAAAGUGUCAUUUUCAUGAAGAUAUCAAAAAGAUUUGAAGCCAAGGCACAGCUAAUACCACAUCCUAACCAAAAGGACACAAAGCAAAAAAUAGGCAACAAUUACCUUCUUGUAUAUAAAAUCAAUUGAUAACUGUUUGACUGAAAAACUUGAAUGUAAGCUCAUUGCAAAAUUACUAACAAAGUCUAUUAAAAGCUCCACAUCACAUCUUUUCUUCAUUCCCACCGUAGUCAGUCACACUCAGCUCUCAGUUCCCUCAUACAAGCCUUGCUUGUCUGCCUGUAAAUAGAAGUAAGCUUCAAAGCUCAGAUUGCUGCUGUGAAUACUCAUCUGGCUGCUCAAAGGCAGUCCUCUCUUCUUUUUCAGGUCAGAGGCAAAAUGAUGUUGACUUGCUUUGAUUUUCUUAGUCUAGACUAUCCUUGCACCAACCUGAAAUGAAUUUAUUUUCCUGUUGAAAG